ACCAGACUCCUACGGGAGGCAGCAGUGGGGAAUAUUGCACAAUGGGGGGAACCCUGAUGCAGCGACGCCGCGUGGGUGAAGAAGCGCCUCGGCGCGUAAAGCCCUGUCAGCAGGGAAGAAAAUGACGGUACCUGAAGAAGAAGCCCCGGCUAACUACGUGCCAGCAGCCGCGGUAAUACGUAGGGGGCAAGCGUUAUCCGGAUUUACUGGGUGUAAAGGGGGCGCAGGCGGCGAUGCAAGCCAGGAGUGAAAGCCCGGGGCCCAACCCCGGGACUGCUCUUGGAACUGCGUGGCUGGAGUGCAGGAGGGGCAGGCGGAAUUCCUGGUGUAGCGGUGAAAUGCGUAGAUAUCAGGAGGAACACCGGUGGCGAAGGCGGCCUGCUGGACUGCAACUGACGUUGAGGCCCGAAAGCGUGGGGAGCAAACAGGAUUAGAUACCCGAGUA
Molecule: ribosomal RNA, 445 nt
Filed under: uncultured bacterium
Lineage: Bacteria
Description: bacterial SSU rRNA
Rfam family: Bacterial small subunit ribosomal RNA
Source: RNAcentral